This 468-nucleotide ribosomal RNA is filed under the name uncultured bacterium. RNAcentral's name for it is "partial 16S ribosomal RNA". It matches the Rfam family "Bacterial small subunit ribosomal RNA", at positions 28 to 507 of the family's 1533-position model. The record is from RNAcentral.
GACGAACGCUGGCGGCGUGCUUAACACAUGCAAGUCGAACGGAAAGGCCCUGCUUUUGUGGGGUGCUCGAGUGGCGAACGGGUGAGUAACACGUGAGUAACCUGCCCUUGACUUUGGGAUAACUUCAGGAAACUGGGGCUAAUACCGGAUAGGAGCUCCUGCUGCAUGGUGGGGGUUGGAAAGUUUCGGCGGUUGGGGAUGGACUCGCGGCUUAUCAGCUUGUGGGGGGGGGAGUGGCUUACCAAGGCUUUGACGGGUAGCCGGCCUGGGAGGGUGACCGGCCACCUUGGGACUGAGAUACGGCCCAGACUCCUACGGUAGGCAGCAGUGGGGAAUAUUGCACAAUGGGCGGAAGCCUGAUGCAGCAGCGCCGCGUGCGGGAUGACGGCCUUCGGGUUGUAAACCGCUUUCGCCUGUGACGAAGCGUGAGUGACGGUAAUGGGUAAAGAAGCACCGGCUAACUACGUG